This 327-nucleotide ribosomal RNA is filed under the name uncultured eukaryote. RNAcentral describes it as "partial 18S ribosomal RNA". It matches the Rfam family "Eukaryotic small subunit ribosomal RNA", at positions 1470 to 1796 of the family's 1831-position model. The record is from RNAcentral.
CCCUUAGAUGUUCUCGGCCGCACACGCGCUACACUGAAAGAGGCAACGUGUUUGCCUGAUUCGAAAGAAUUGGGUAACCCCCUAAUCUCUUUCGUGCUGGGGAUUGAGGUUUGCAAUUAUCCUUCAUGAACGAGGAAUUCCCAGUAAGUGCGAGUCAUUAUCUCGCGCUGACUACGUCCCUGCCCUUUGUACACACCGCCCGUCGCUACUACCGAUUGAAUGAUUUAGUGAGGACUUCGGACUGAGUCCAAUGCGGCUUUCGGGCUGCGUUGGUAUUUCGGAAAGAUGUUCAAACUGUAUCAUUUAGAGGAAGUAAAAGUCGUAACA